Molecule: ribosomal RNA, 3008 nt
Filed under: Salmonella enterica subsp. enterica
Lineage: Bacteria; Pseudomonadati; Pseudomonadota; Gammaproteobacteria; Enterobacterales; Enterobacteriaceae
Also listed under: 2 other names
Description: 23S ribosomal RNA
Rfam family: Bacterial large subunit ribosomal RNA
Source: RNAcentral
GGUUAAGCGACUAAGCGUACACGGUGGAUGCCCUGGCAGUCAGAGGCGAUGAAGGGCGUGCUAAUCUGCGAUAAGCGCCGGUAAGGUGAUAUGAACCGUUAUAACCGGCGAUACCCGAAUGGGGAAACCCAGUGUGACUCGUCACACUAUCAUUAACUGAAUCCAUAGGUUAAUGAGGCGAACCGGGGGAACUGAAACAUCUAAGUACCCCGAGGAAAAGAAAUCAACCGAGAUUCCCCCAGUAGCGGCGAGCGAACGGGGAGGAGCCCAGAGCCUGAAUCAGCAUGUGUGUUAGUGGAAGCGUCUGGAAAGGCGCGCGAUACAGGGUGACAGCCCCGUACACAAAAGCGCAUGUGCUGUGAGCUCGAUGAGUAGGGCGGGACACGUGGUAUCCUGUCUGAAUAUGGGGGGACCAUCCUCCAAGGCUAAAUACUCCUGACUGACCGAUAGUGAACCAGUACCGUGAGGGAAAGGCGAAAAGAACCCCGGCGAGGGGAGUGAAAAAGAACCUGAAACCGUGUACGUACAAGCAGUGGGAGCCCCACCACCAAAGCAUUCUCUGGUGUUGAAGGCCCUGCAAAGCAGCAUCGCGGUGGCGGAGCGUCGUUUGCGACGCCCAACACACAAAACAAGCGGUGAGUGCUUUGGGGUGGGGUGACUGCGUACCUUUUGUAUAAUGGGUCAGCGACUUAUAUUCUGUAGCAAGGUUAACCGUAUAGGGGAGCCGUAGGGAAACCGAGUCUUAACCGGGCGUUAAGUUGCAGGGUAUAGACCCGAAACCCGGUGAUCUAGCCAUGGGCAGGUUGAAGGUUGGGUAACACUAACUGGAGGACCGAACCGACUAAUGUUGAAAAAUUAGCGGAUGACCUGUGGCUGGGGGUGAAAGGCCAAUCAAACCGGGAGAUAGCUGGUUCUCCCCGAAAGCUAUUUAGGUAGCGCCUCGUGAAUUCAUCUCCGGGGGUAGAGCACUGUUUCGGCUAGGGGGCCAUCCCGGCUUACCAACCCGAUGCAAACUGCGAAUACCGGAGAAUGUUAUCACGGGAGACACACGGCGGGUGCUAACGUCCGUCGUGAAGAGGGAAACAACCCAGACCGCCAGCUAAGGUCCCAAAGUCAUGGUUAAGUGGGAAACGAUGUGGGAAGGCCCAGACAGCCAGGAUGUUGGCUUAGAAGCAGCCAUCAUUUAAAGAAAGCGUAAUAGCUCACUGGUCGAGUCGGCCUGCGCGGAAGAUGUAACGGGGCUAAACCAUGCACCGAAGCUGCGGCAGCGACGCUGAUGCGUUGUUGGGUAGGGGAGCGUUCUGUAAGCCUGUGAAGGUGGCCUGUGAGGGUUGCUGGAGGUAUCAGAAGUGCGAAUGCUGACAUAAGUAACGAUAAAGCGGGUGAAAAGCCCGCUCGCCGGAAGACCAAGGGUUCCUGUCCAACGUUAAUCGGGGCAGGGUGAGUCGACCCCUAAGGCGAGGCCGAAAGGCGUAGUCGAUGGGAAACGGGUUAAUAUUCCCGUACUUGGUGUUACUGCGAAGGGGGGACGGAGAAGGCUAUGUUGGCCGGGCGACGGUUGUCCCGGUUUAAGCGUGUAGGUGUGUGUUCCAGGUAAAUCCGGUUCACUUUAACACUGAGGCGUGAUGACGAGGCACUACGGUGCUGAAGCAACAAAUGCCCUGCUUCCAGGAAAAGCCUCUAAGCAUCAGGUAACAUCAAAUCGUACCCCAAACCGACACAGGUGGUCAGGUAGAGAAUACCAAGGCGCUUGAGAGAACUCGGGUGAAGGAACUAGGCAAAAUGGUGCCGUAACUUCGGGAGAAGGCACGCUGACACGUAGGUGAAGUGAUUUACUCAUGGAGCUGAAGUCAGUCGAAGAUACCAGCUGGCUGCAACUGUUUAUUAAAAACACAGCACUGUGCAAACACGAAAGUGGACGUAUACGGUGUGACGCCUGCCCGGUGCCGGAAGGUUAAUUGAUGGGGUCAGCGCAAGCGAAGCUCCUGAUCGAAGCCCCGGUAAACGGCGGCCGUAACUAUAACGGUCCUAAGGUAGCGAAAUUCCUUGUCGGGUAAGUUCCGACCUGCACGAAUGGCGUAAUGAUGGCCAGGCUGUCUCCACCCGAGACUCAGUGAAAUUGAACUCGCUGUGAAGAUGCAGUGUACCCGCGGCAAGACGGAAAGACCCCGUGAACCUUUACUAUAGCUUGACACUGAACAUUGAGCCUUGAUGUGUAGGAUAGGUGGGAGGCUUUGAAGCGUGGACGCCAGUCUGCAUGGAGCCGGCCUUGAAAUACCACCCUUUAAUGUUUGAUGUUCUAACGUGGACCCGUGAUCCGGGUUGCGGACAGUGUCUGGUGGGUAGUUUGACUGGGGCGGUCUCCUCCUAAAGAGUAACGGAGGAGCACGAAGGUUGGCUAAUCCUGGUCGGACAUCAGGAGGUUAGUGCAAUGGCAUAAGCCAGCUUGACUGCGAGCGUGACGGCGCGAGCAGGUGCGAAAGCAGGUCAUAGUGAUCCGGUGGUUCUGAAUGGAAGGGCCAUCGCUCAACGGAUAAAAGGUACUCCGGGGAUAACAGGCUGAUACCGCCCAAGAGUUCAUAUCGACGGCGGUGUUUGGCACCUCGAUGUCGGCUCAUCACAUCCUGGGGCUGAAGUAGGUCCCAAGGGUAUGGCUGUUCGCCAUUUAAAGUGGUACGCGAGCUGGGUUUAGAACGUCGUGAGACAGUUCGGUCCCUAUCUGCCGUGGGCGCUGGAGAACUGAGGGGGGCUGCUCCUAGUACGAGAGGACCGGAGUGGACGCAUCACUGGUGUUCGGGUUGUCAUGCCAAUGGCACUGCCCGGUAGCUAAAUGCGGAAGAGAUAAGUGCUGAAAGCAUCUAAGCACGAAACUUGCCCCGAGAUGAGUUCUCCCUGAGACUUAGAGUCUCCUGAAGGAACGUUGAAGACGACGACGUUGAUAGGCCGGGUGUGUAAGCGCAGCGAUGCGUUGAGCUAACCGGUACUAAUGAACCGUGAGGCUUAACCUU